CAAUGUGAGUCAGUGAGUGACCGGUGACUGGCUGCUGCAGCCAAUGAUGCGAUUCACAUACGUAUUUACCAUAGACUGUAUAUAAUGGUAUUUACGCAGCUAAUCAACGUCAGGCGUCCUUAUGUGCAGCCACCGUUGUUCUCAUAGAUAUGAAUGAGUAGAUAGGACACGCCCCUUUGAGCUGCGUGCUACAGCGAGGCUAAGCUAGUGGGGGCAAAGUUUCAGUGCAUUCCGUUGAUGUAGACGGCGUGAAAACGGAAACAAGAAGUAUGCCGGCUCACUGUGCUGCAUACAAUUACACACUAUGUCGUACGAUUGAGACAAGGAAACUUGGAAUGACUUUUCAUAGGUUUCCCAGAGACUAUGGGUUGAGGAGGAAUUGGAAGUUUGUCGGCUUAGACCUGGUGUCAUUCCAUCAGUGUUAAACUUUCCGGCUCAUCUUGGAAGAGUACGUGCCAGAAAGACCACAACCAAGCAGCCUUGAGAUCUUAGGCAGCGUCUCCCUCAGGUCCCUCUCUAUCUCCCCACAGAUCCACCAACCACUGGAACACAUCUCCAAAGUUCUGCUGGGCCAGCUCAGCUUCCCCUCAGAAGAAGUGCCGCCAGAUGAAGGAGCCUUUUGAGAGGCAGCUGGCAUCGUGAUUGGACUGUACUUUGGUCUGUUCCAAUCCAGCUUCAGCUCCAGAGACGGCAGGCGGGACGAGUCAACGGAGGCCUGGUGGACGAAGGCAUGCAGCUGAGUAUAAUCCAGAAAACAACAGAGGAGGAGUGCAGUGGCCCAGGGCCAGAACAAACAGAGUAGCAUCGUAUGUCUCUUAGAAAACAUCAUAGUAUAGCCUUUGGGAUGAAAAAACGCCAUCAUAUACAUCGUAUAUUAUGCAAAUAACAAGUCAAAGGAAAGAGACAUACAUUGUAGAAUUGUAGUAAUUCUGGGCUGACUGAUUUACUGAUUAUCAGUUUUUUAUUUUUUACUGAUUUACGGUAAUAAAUACAUUUAAAAAUUGUGCUACUUUGGCUUCUUAAAUUUUUAUCAAAAUCCUGACAAAAACAAAGAAAAAUGCCAGUGGUGGGUCUUGAACCAGCUACCUUCCAGUUGGUAGCCUCUCUUCUUACCCAGUGAGCUACUCACUCAGAUACCAAACCUUCUUUUUUUCACGCAUUUGUCAUCUAUUUUUUGUCAUUUUCGACCAUUUUUCUCAGGAGGUUGGACUUCAGCGUUUGUGCUGGAGGGUUGAACCCUCAGUUCCAAGACUUUCCAAAGCCUCCACACCUCCCGAGUCCUCAGGACCUGAGCUUUCACACAGUCUGAGGGCUGAAAUUUUCUAAGUUCCACAGUAGUUCUCUGUUAGAUUGAACUUUCAGACAGUCCAAGGACUGAUAUCUUCUAAGUUCCUGAGUAGUUCUCUGUUAGUUUGAAACUUCAGACAGUCUGAGGGCUGAAAUUUUCUAAGUCCCACAGUAGUUCUCUGUUAGAUUGAGUCCAAGGGCUGAUAUCUUCUAAGUUCCUGAGUAGUUCUCUGUUAGUUUGAACCUUCAGACAGUCUGAGGACUGAAAACCUAAAACUUCUUGAGUACUUCUCUGUUAGUUUGAACCUUCAGACAGUCUGAGGACCGAAAUUUUAGAAGUUUCUCAGUACUUCUCUGUUAGUUUGAACUUUCUGGUUAACAGAAGCCUUAAAACUUGUGACCAUGAGUCUUGAUUUCACAUUUAGACCAUCAAUCUGAGUUCUUGUCAGACCUUCACCUGUGGGUUUUUUAGAAAUCCUGAACAAACUUUGAUUCUCUUCACUGAACAGUAAAGUUUGUGGAGAUCAGAAGGUAACAGUUUGAUCAAUGCCUUCAACUACUAGUAGACUUUAUCUGGAAAGCAGUUUUCUUAAAUGAAUUCUUAGUAAAUCUUACCACAAUCAAACCAAGAACACAGAAAGAGGAAAUGUUUGAAGAAACAACUUGAUGUUUUCAUUUCAGACUAGAAAACGCUUUAAGAACUUUGUCUGUUUUUGCUCUUUUUCAUCGUUUUAUUGUCUUGUCUGUUUAAUUUGAUCUUCCAAAGUCUAACUGGUGUCUUUUCCAAUGUUGUCUUUAGUUUGAUUCUUCUUAAAUGUUGUUAUGCUCUUUUCUCACCUUUUAUUCUUUUCUAAUGUCUGAUUUGAUUUCGAAAUGUUUAGUGUUUUUAAUGUUUAAUUGUUUUUUCAAAUGUUUUAUCGGCUUGUUUGAAAUUUUUUUCUUUCCCAAUAUGUAAUUUUUUGAUUAAAUCCUGAAGGUUUUUCUUUUUAAAUGCUUUACCACCUUUUAAUGUUUAAUUUUCUUUUUAAGUGCUUCAUUGUAUUUUCUGUUUAAUUCCUAUUUGAAUUUUUAUUGUUUUUAAGAUGUAAUUUUCUAAUUAAACAUUUAACUUUUUAAUUAAAUGUUUUGUCUCUUUAAGUUACUUUUUUAUUUUCAUAGGCACAGUGAGAGAGAGAGAGAGAGACAGGAAACAGGUGAGAAGAGUUGGGGAGAACAUACAGCAAAGGGCCGUGAGCGGGAUUCGAACCCGGGCCGCUGUGUCGGCGACCAGCCUCUGUAUGUGGGUCGCCCGCUCAA
Amphiprion ocellaris (clown anemonefish) is the source of this 2583-nucleotide long non-coding RNA. RefSeq lists it as uncharacterized. Lineage: Eukaryota; Metazoa; Chordata; Actinopteri; Pomacentridae. The record is from RefSeq and is a predicted model, not a curated record. The transcript is spliced from 3 exons.